Long non-coding RNA from Cebus imitator (Panamanian white-faced capuchin), 391 nucleotides. RefSeq lists it as uncharacterized. The record is from RefSeq and is a predicted model, not a curated record. The transcript is spliced from 3 exons. Lineage: Eukaryota; Metazoa; Chordata; Mammalia; Primates; Cebidae.
CCAGACCCUGGAAUUCGGCCAGUCCCCACCCCUGUCCUGUGGCUGAGGGUGGACAGGGAGUCAGGGGGGUCUCUUGUUGGUUUGCCUUCUUCCUCUCGCUCUCUCUCCUGAAGACAGGAAAUAUAGAACCAAUCAGUAACUUGGAAGACUGAGGACAGGAGAGCAGGAGGGAGCGGGCUUCAGUCUUGUUCCAGUCCCUGGAUCAUCAGGCAGGGUCUGAAAACCACUGUUUGAGACAGCAUACAUUCCCAGGACUGCAGACCACUGGACCAAACUUCUAGGAAACAAGACUUGUGCACCCUGCCCUCUCUUCCCCUGCUCAUCCUUUGGUGAAAGGAAAGAAUGACCCACAUUGUGACUCCAUGGCGAGAAUGGAGAGGGGAGAGAAAUA